RNAcentral lists this ribosomal RNA (324 nucleotides) under uncultured Spirochaetota bacterium. RNAcentral describes it as "bacterial SSU rRNA". It matches the Rfam family "Bacterial small subunit ribosomal RNA", at positions 28 to 351 of the family's 1533-position model. The record is from RNAcentral. Lineage: Bacteria; Pseudomonadati; Spirochaetota.
AACGAACGCUGGCGGCGUGUCUUAAGCAUGCAAGUCGUGCGGCAAGGCGGGGCAACCCGCCCUAGAGCGGCGGACUGGUGAGUAACGCGUGGGUGAUCUGCCCUUGGGAUGGGGAUAGCCUCUAGAAAUAGAGGGUAAUACCGAAUACGUUCGGUGCUUCGGUGCACCGAGGAAAAGCGCUUCGGCGCUGCCCGAGGAUGAGCCCGCGUCUCAUUAGCUAGUUGGUGAGGUAAUGGCCCACCAAGGCUAUGAUGGGUAGCCGGCCUGAGAGGGUGAACGGCCACACUGGGACUGAGAUACGGCCCAGACUCCUACGGGUGGCAG